Long non-coding RNA from Columba livia (rock pigeon), 2271 nucleotides. RefSeq lists it as uncharacterized. The record is from RefSeq and is a predicted model, not a curated record. The transcript has 3 exons. NCBI's taxonomy places the organism in Eukaryota, Metazoa, Chordata, Aves, Columbiformes, Columbidae.
AAGCAAAACAGAAGCUAAAAAUGAGUCAAUUUAAUAGAAAAUGGGAAAUGUUCCUGGGUCAAGUGUGCAUCUGUGCCUCUUUAUAUAUCCUAGUCUAAAUAUAGGUGCUCUGAGGGCUUGCUAGAGAUAACUACAGAAAGGAAGGUGGAAAGAAAGAAGCCACUUAAUUUCCUCCUGCCCUUCCCCCAGUCCACAUAGUGUCUGCAAACCCCCGAGUUGUGCCAGUUUAACCUCCUGAAGGCUCUGGAUAGUGAAGCCACAAAACUGGGAGAACUGGAAGAAAUCCCACCUGCAAAGUUAAGUGGCAAGGAGAGGCUUUUUUUUUCUUUUUUAAUCACUGUUCUUGAUCCUGCAUUUCCUAAACCCUGUUGUAGGCUGGAGUUGGUAAUUUCUUUUUUUUCAUUAUUAUUUUUUUUUUUUUUUAUUACCAUAAGUUGGAAUUUAUGGGCCAGCUGAUCCUCUUUGAAAAGAGUCCUUGUGUGCUGGAGAAGGGAGGGUGGGACCAACCUGUCAGCAGGGAGCUUUUGGGCUACUCCAAAAGCAAUUAUUUGUUGUUCUCCCUUCCCUUCAAUGUAUCCCCCUAGAAAAAUAAAUAAAUAAAAGUGUUCGACUUUCUUUUAACAGCUGCCCACAAAGGUUCCUUUCUUAACACUUUUUUUUUUUUUUUUUCAGUUGGUCCUCCUGAUUCCUUGGCACAGCAAAGGAAUUAUAAGAAAACUCCAGCGACAGUGGGAUCCUCUUGGGGACACCUUGCUCUCAGUAAUUUUUUUUUAUGCAAACCAUUUAGGAGACAAGAGAGAGAUACUGAAGAAUGAAGCCCUCCUUUGAAGGUGAUCUCAUUCCAGAAAGGAAUUUGAAUGUUGGCAGCUUCCAUUUCACUUAGGACCAACAGCCUGUUGCUUAUUGUUUCCUGCCAGAUUUAUCUUUGGACAUCCUGCCCAGAAAUCAUUGCACUUCUCUACAGCAGAAUAAACAUUCAAGGGACCCAGCCACAUGGACAUGCGUGGAGGAGGAGAUAGGGAGACUUGGAGAUCAAACCAGUGCAAAAACUCUUCAUUACGAUGGUAAGUCCUGGGCUAGAGGAAAAAGUAAAAAAAAAAAUGCAAUGAAAUAAAAUCCCUGCCUUGAUUGUGUGUGGGUGGAUAACUCACUUCCUUCAAACGCUGCUUAUCCACUGAUGCCACACACAGCAUGUGAGUACUCCAGCUUCUGUGCCUCCCCGUCAUCUACUUCUUAAAUCAUUGCAAAUAUAUACAGAAAAAAAGCUUUGUGAUAAAGCUGGUACAGGGGAAGAAAUACAACUUCUCCAGCAGAGCUGUGGCAGUGUGACAAGCUCUUGGACACUAUCCAGUGAGCUGAAGCAACUGAAACUCAGGCCUGAAGCUGCUGAACGGUGACGUUUUGGUCAGGACCAAGAUCUGCUGCAGUGACUUCAGGAGGUGGAGGUCACACCUCUGUGUGCAGAACAUGUGCAUUCCUAAACAUGCACGGUCUUGGGGCCUCUCCACCAUGCCACUGAGCACCCCAGUAGGACAAGGAAGCACUCAGUACUUUUCCUUUUUAGGUGCAAACUUCUGGGCAAAUGCCCAGGCAGUCAAAGCUGGAUGCAGAAGUAGGGAUGAAUUAAAUUUCCUUUGUCUUGUGGUAAAGCUGAGAUCUCCUCUAUACCAUUAGCAGAAGGAAGCUCACAGUUUUUCAAAAGGUUUAUAUUGGAUACCACAUUAAAUUUCUUAGUAAAUCCUGAUAUACUAAAUGUUACUACAGAACCUGAUGAUGGGGAGCAGUUAUUAUAUAUAUACUUGCACUUCAUUGAUCUGAACAUCCAAAAUAUUUCCAGAUUUUGGCAGAUGCUAAAAUAAUCUAUUUAAGCUAUGCUAUCAGGACAGGUAGGCAUGAGCCCAUAGACAAAAAGGGGUUUAGGUAUCUGACACUGUGAUACAGUGGGUAUGUGGAGGGCAUAUGUACUCUCGCAUGUUGGAGGGGUAUAGAGCUGAAUAGAAUUGAUCAGGAAGACAGGCAGAAACAUGGACUGGAUGGGAAAGAGACAAGUGAAUGAAGUACAAUUGGACUGAGCAUAAGUUCUUGCUUUCCCUCCCCUGGCCACAGGCCUAGGCAAAGGGGUUCUCAGGGCCAACCAUCCACUGCCAGCAUGUCAUUAAUUACUGAUAAAAUUCACUUGCUGUUGCACUUGUGCCUGGUGCCAGCCUCUGGCCAAAAGUGACAUAUUUUGUCUGUGAUCAACAUCAAAGAAAGGGAAGAGAAGCCUUGGAA